This 1066-nucleotide long non-coding RNA is filed under the name Helianthus annuus (common sunflower). Its description in RNAcentral is "hypothetical non coding rna". The record is from RNAcentral. Lineage: Eukaryota; Viridiplantae; Streptophyta; Magnoliopsida; Asterales; Asteraceae.
UUUUUUUUUUCCAUAAACAGAUUACACAUUCCUUUCUAUAUGAUGUUGCAGAUGAAAAACCCUAGAUCUAAUUCUAUAAUUUACCUUGCCGCUUCUUCUUUCAUUCGAUUCGUCGGCUUUUGUUUCAUCUAUUAGCGAUUCAUCUUAAAGUCGGAAAGCUGUAUAACCAGCAAUUUUUUUUAUUUUGGAUUUGUCGUGGCAUCGUUUUACAAAGAUUUGGAUGUAAAAGAUGCAGAAGUUUGUGUCCGAAGGAGCAUUAGUGUGGUAUAUCUCAUCUUCAGCUGCUUCUAGGAUAGAUGUUUUAUUAAUUUGUUAUACUGGUCUGGUAUAUCUUUCGAAAAAAAUAAUAUGAGCACUUUUUUACGUGUAAGUUGACCAGUGAUAUAAAUAGAUCUCUUUUUCUUUUGUUAUCUGUUUUUUAACAUCUCAUGGCGUGGUAUAGUAGAAAAUGUAUGAGGAGCUAUGGUCCAGCAGAAGGGAUAUUUUAAAGUUACCAAAGCAGAUUUGAGCCCCAAGGCUGGAGCUAAUGUUGUUUUAAUGACAAAGGGGAUUGAUGACAUGGCACUCAAGGUAUAAUUUAAACACUCCUUCAUGUCUUCUUUGUUGAGGCUGGUGCAAUUGCCGUUGACGCGCACAUAAGGAGGAUUUACACCAUCUGGCAAAGGGAAUUGCUGCAACUCUGAGUUGGGAAAGUUGGAGCUUUCUCCAAGUGAGAUACAGUUUUAAGUUACGAGGUCAAAGAGAGCUGUUUUUCAACCUGAAGAUAGUGAACUCUUUGAGCUUAAUUAGUAGGAAAAAUGUGAUAUAGUCAUAAAGCUCGAGACACAAUUCAACAUAAAUUUCCUAACAUAGUUGUUGAGUGCCACAAGUAUGGGUUAGAUAUAUAACCCGUGACUCGAUUCAUAUGGUUCCUGCUACUCAUUACCUGUGUGGUGGGGUUCAGGCUGUGCUUCAGUGGGAGUGGACUUUAUGUUCAGUUAUGUGGUGAUGACGCUUCUGAAGGUGUGUUUGUCGGGGCCUUUCUCUCCAUGUCAUCAACAGCAGUGGUUUUGAAGUUUCUGAUGGA